This 716-nucleotide long non-coding RNA is filed under the name Homo sapiens (human). RNAcentral's name for it is "HSALNT0040650". The record is from RNAcentral. Lineage: Eukaryota; Metazoa; Chordata; Mammalia; Primates; Hominidae.
UGGGAAGAUGAGGUGCAGCUAGUGGGUUUGCAUUACCGAGGAGUACUCUUGUGCUUUGGAACCCCAAUCUUUUAAAGGGGCUCCUAGCACACCUGACCAAUUUUUCCCUUGGAGAGAGACAUUAUUUUUAUUACCUUGAUCAGCAAACAAAUCUGCCCUCUUGGGAGAGGCCUCCCUUGAAGGGAGAAACUAUCUUUAUCUUUCUUCCAAAGCCCUUUCCUGUACAAAAAUUCUUAAGUGUGAUGGUUAAUAUUAAGUGUCAACUUGAUCGGAUUGAAGGAUGCAAAGUAUUGUUCCUGAGUGUAUCUGUGAGGGUAUUGCCAAAGGAGAUUAACAUUUGAGUCAGUCGACUGGGACAGGCAGGCUCACCCUCUGUCUGGGUGGGCACCAUCUAAUCAGCAGCCAGCAUAAAAGCAGGAAUGGAAAGAGCAGAAUUGCUGAGUCUUCUGGCCUCCAUCUUUCUCCCAUGCUGGAUGCUUCCUGCCCUCAAACAUUAGACUCCAAGUUCUUCAGCUUUUGGACUCUUGGACUUACACCAGUGAUUUUCCAGGGGCUCUCAGGCCCUUUGGCCACAGACUGAAGGCUCCAUUGUUGGCUUGCCUACUUUUGAGGUUUUGGAAGUCAGACUGGCUUUCUGGCUCCUCAACUUGUGGACUUCCUAUUGUGGGACUUCACUUUGUGACUAUGUGAGCACGUUAUUAUUAUUUUGACCCAGA